Molecule: non-coding RNA, 373 nt
Organism: Pelobates cultripes (western spadefoot toad)
Lineage: Eukaryota; Metazoa; Chordata; Amphibia; Anura; Pelobatidae
Source: the annotation of a GenBank genome assembly
AGUAUGAAUCACAAUCAUGGGGAAGACUGCUGACCUGACAGUUGUGCAGAAAUCCAUCAUUGACACCCUCCAUAAGGAGGGAAAGCCUCAAAAGGUAAUUACGAAGGAUGUUGGCUGUUCCCAAAGUGCUGCAUCAACGCACAUUAAUAGAAAGUUAUGUGGAAGGGAAAAGUGUGGAAGAAAAAGGUGCACAAGCAGCAGGAUGAUGAGGAGAGGAUUGUCAGGAAUAGGUAAUUCAAAUGUGUUGGGAACUUUCACAAGGAGUGGACUGAGGCUGGAGUCAGUGCAUCAAGAGCCACCACACACAGACAGAUCCUGGACAUGGGCUUCAGAUGUCGUAUUCCUCUUGUCAAGCCGCUCCUGAACAACAAAC